GACGAACGCUGGCGGCGCGCUUAACACAUGCAAGUCGAGCGAUGAAACUUUAACAGAACCCUUCGGGGCGAAGAUAAAGUGGAUUAGCGGCGGACGGGUGAGUAACACGUGAGUAGCCUGCCUUAGACAUUGGGAUAGCCUCGGGAAACCGGGAUUAAUACCAAAUAAAAUCAUAAUGACACAUGUCAUAACGAUCAAAACUCCGGUGGUCUAAGAUGGACUCGCGUCCCAUUAGCUAGUUGGUAGAGUAAAAGCCUACCAAGGCGACGAUGGGUAGCCGGCCUGAGAGGGUGAACGGCCACAUUGGAACUGAGAAACGGUCCAAACUCCUACGGGAGGCAGCAGUGGGGAAUAUUGCACAAUGGAGGGAACUCUGAUGCAGCGACGCCGCGUGAACGAAGAAGGCUUUCGAGUCGUAAAGUUCUUUUAUAUGGGAAGAUAAUGACGGUACCAUAAGAAAAAGCCCCGGCUAACUACGUG
Molecule: ribosomal RNA, 480 nt
Filed under: uncultured bacterium
Lineage: Bacteria
Description: partial 16S ribosomal RNA
Rfam family: Bacterial small subunit ribosomal RNA
Source: RNAcentral